ACGAACUGUGCGAACGUUAUUCGGAAUCACUGGGCUUAAAGGGUGCGUAGGCGGUUAUCCAAGUCAGGUGUGAAAUCUCUCGGCUCAACCGGGAAACUGCGCUUGAAACUGGGUGACUGGAGGGAUGCAGGGGUGUGUGGAACUUCCGGUGGAGCGGUGAAAUGUGUAGAUAUCGGAAGGAACGCCAGCAGCGAAAGCGGCACACUGGGCAUUUACUGACGCUGAGGCACGAAAGCUAGGGGAGUGAACGGGAUUAGAUACCCCGGUAAUCCUAGCCGUAAACACUGAGCACUGGGGGAGGGAGGUUUCGGCCUUCUUUCCCGUAGCGAAAGCGUUAAGUGCUCCGCCUGGGGAGUAUGGUCGCAAGGCUG
This 371-nucleotide ribosomal RNA is filed under the name uncultured bacterium. Its description in RNAcentral is "bacterial SSU rRNA". It matches the Rfam family "Bacterial small subunit ribosomal RNA", at positions 525 to 896 of the family's 1533-position model. The record is from RNAcentral.